CCUACGGGUGGCAGCAGUGGGGAAUAUUUCACAAUGGGCGAAAGCCUGAUGCAGCAACGCCGCGUGAGCGAUGAAGGCCUUCGGGUCGUAAAGUUCUGUCCUCAAGGAAGAUAAUGACGGUACUUGAGGAGGAAGCACCGGCUAACUACGUGCCAGCAGCCGCGGUCAUACGUAGGAGCCUAGCGUUAUCCGGAAUUACUGGGCGUAAAGGGUGCGUUUGUGGUUUCUUGAGUCAGGGGUGAAAGGGUACGGCUCAAACGCAGUAAGCCAUUGAAACUGUGGAACUUGAGUGCAGGAGGGGUGAGUGGAAUGCCUAGUGUAGCGGUGAAAUGCGUAGAUAUUAGGAGGAACACCAGUUGCGAAGGCAGCUCUCUGGACUGGAACUGACACUGAGGCACGAAAGCGUGGGGAGCAAACAGGAUUAGAUACCCCAGUAGUC
This 439-nucleotide ribosomal RNA is filed under the name uncultured bacterium. RNAcentral's name for it is "partial 16S ribosomal RNA". It matches the Rfam family "Bacterial small subunit ribosomal RNA", at positions 338 to 795 of the family's 1533-position model. The record is from RNAcentral.